This 425-nucleotide ribosomal RNA is filed under the name uncultured bacterium. Its description in RNAcentral is "partial 16S ribosomal RNA". It matches the Rfam family "Bacterial small subunit ribosomal RNA", at positions 354 to 796 of the family's 1533-position model. The record is from RNAcentral.
GUGGGGAAUCUUCCGCAAUGGACGAAAGCCUGAUCCAGCAAUGCCGCGUGAGUGAUGAAGGCCUUAGGGUUGUAAAGCUCUUUUACCAGGGAUGAUAAUGACAGUACCUGGAGAAUAAGCUCCGGCUAACUCCGUGCCAGCAGCCGCGGUAAUACGGAGGGAGCUAGCGUUGUUCGGAAUUACUGGGCGUAAAGCGCACGUAGGCUGUAGUGUAAGUCAGGGGUGAAAUCCCACGGCUCAACCGUGGAACUGCCUUUGAUACUGGCUGUCUUGAGUUUGGGAGAGGUGAGUGGAACUCCGAGUGUAGAGGUGAAAUUCGUAGAUAUUCGGAAGAACACCAGUGGCGAAGGCGACUCACUGGCCCAAUACUGACGCUGAGGCGCGAAAGCGUGGGGAGCAAACAGGAUUAGAAACCCCUGUAGUCC